AUGAUUCACAGAUGAUCUGUUGC
Molecule: small nuclear RNA, 23 nt
Filed under: Arabidopsis thaliana (thale cress)
Lineage: Eukaryota; Viridiplantae; Streptophyta; Magnoliopsida; Brassicales; Brassicaceae
Description: snRNA_03754
Source: RNAcentral